Molecule: long non-coding RNA, 1537 nt
Organism: Micropterus dolomieu (smallmouth bass)
Lineage: Eukaryota; Metazoa; Chordata; Actinopteri; Centrarchiformes; Centrarchidae
Exons: 3
Source: RefSeq, a predicted model, not a curated record
CCGUCCUCUCUGCGCUCUGUUCACCCUUUACGGGCACAUAUUUCGGUGCUGACACGCAUAUUUGGGAACAUAAAUUCCUCAUUUUGCUCCUGCGGCACAGCUUGUUUGGGUUAACGUUAACCCUGCUCCCCUCUGUUUUAUAACGCUAACGGAUUAAUUUAGCCGAACCAACGUUAAAUAGUUAGUAGCUGUGAUUCCCGUCUUGAUAACAAGUUAAACAGCUGACUUACCUUUUACUUAUGACGGAAAUGGAUGGGAGUGAUGUGAAACGAUAAGAUGCCAAAACAACAACAGAUGUUAAGUAAAUUAACCAGGCAGGGACCAGGAAACAAGGUUAUAUUUUUUUAUUAUAAACUGAUGGAUUGUCGUUCAGGUUAGUGUAAACUAAACGAGUGAACUGUGAAAAAGCAAGAGCUAGCUAAGCUGUGUCCACUAACGGACGUUAACGGUAACACCCCAUAAAGUCUUUUUGAAGUGGAUCUACGUUAAAACGUUAACACCACUCACCUGACCAGGAGAAGAUCGCCUCUGAUUGUCUUAUCUGGCUGUCCAACGGUGACCUUUAUUUUGCCCAGAAUAUCGAUUAGUCUCCCCUCCUUCAAACAGUGAGCUCCCUUCUCCUUCUUCUCUCAUCAACUGCCGAGAAGACAAAACACAUCUGACCGAGGAGGGGCUGGACCAGACUCAUGAUGCCUUCAAGACUUCGUCAGAAGCUCAGACUUUUUCCUGGUUCCUGAUGGGUUGGAUCUGGAGGCCAUGAAGGAAUUGGAGUCCAGAUCGCAUAAAACCCUCCCCAUCCAAGUAAUUUGUGGGUUCUUCCCUGAUUUGCAAUGGUCUUUGAGCUGGGUCAUGAAAGUGCAAGGGGCUUUGGCACAUCUACAGUCAAAGAUAAUUAAACAAUAUGUAGAUUAUUACAUUUUAAGUCAUUGGUUUUUUAUGCAGUACCAUAAGAGAGAGGAGGGAUAUAGUCAUGUUCAGAUACAUUUUAAUCAUGAAAAGUAGCCUGCAGUAAAUGAUAAACUCACUGCACUCAACUGUAGCACUUGUGUACAGAACGUGAAAGAAUUAUACAAAACAAUGAAAUUUGCAGCUUGUUGUUCAAAUACUUUGCCACAAUUCAGCAACGUGGAUUUUACAACGCUGGUUUCAUCUGUACUGCGAUAUUUCCGACAGAUCAUGAAGGUAACAUCUUAGGGCUUUUGACCUCUGUCAACAUUAAAGGGCAAAAUCUUUGACAGGAAUAGCUUAGUAUCAUCCUGAUGUUUUGGAACUGAAUCUUUGCAAAUCAGCAGAAGAGGAGGAAGUAUUCAAGUCCUUUACAAAAAUAAAAAUAGCAACAAAAGUAAAAGCAAAAGUUAAAAGCAAAAGUAGGAACAUUUUUAUCUACAGGUGAAAAGUAGCAGUACUACAUUUCCUUUCAGCCUUUACUCACUCAAGUUUGAUGCAGAAGUGUGUGACUGUGCGUGCUGCUUUUUGUUUAGUUUUCUCAAUGCUUCACUUGUAUAUAUGCGAUUUGGUGUUUUCUUUUGAUACUAUG